This is a long non-coding RNA of Gallus gallus (chicken), 8775 nucleotides long. The record is from Ensembl. Lineage: Eukaryota; Metazoa; Chordata; Aves; Galliformes; Phasianidae.
CUGCUGCCCUCGCUUCGCCGCUCUCCCACACCGCUCCUUCCUUCUCUGCUUCUCCUUUCUCCCCUUGCUUUCUCCCUCCCUCUCUUCUUCCCCUCCCCUUCCGUCCUCCCCCUCCAUCCCGCCCUUUCGCGGCGGGGGGGGGUGGGGGGGUGGGGGGGUGUCUCCCUGGGUAUCAUCGGUCCUCGGCGCUGCCGGCAGUCCGGACGGGCGGGGUGUCCGCGGCUACCAGCGCCCCCUCCCAGUGGAGGGAAUGGCAAAGACACCCACCACGCCCCCCUAAAUCUGCCUUCAAUUCCCGUCUCGGCAACACCACCCCGGGCAGUGGGGAGUCGAGGCUUCCCCUCGGGACCGGCACCGGUUGCCGGCACAGAGAGUGCGAGGCGUGGGUCUCCCUGUGGCCAGGUACUGCCGCCCGGGGUGGGGACACAGCGCACCCAGAGCUGCGCGCUGACUCAGGGGUGCCGGGGCGCCUUGGAGGGGCUUAUCGCCAUCUGCAGGCGGGCUGCGGCGGCCCCGGGGCGCGAAGUCCGCGGGCAGCUCUGCUGGACAUUUCUGACCGCGGGUCCACCCACACUUUUUGAGGGGCUAGACCCGAGACCCCGUGCGGGACUUCGUUCUCGUCCCCUACCCAGUCGCUGCCGGCUCUGUGCUGCUGGGGUUAUCCGGAGAGCAGCAGCAACCCUGUCGCUGAGCCAGCCUGCCACCGCAGGUGCAGAGUGAGAGGGCAUAGCCAACGGCGUUGCACAGUAUCUCUGGAGGGUUUGCUUUAGAAUCCAGUGCCGGGCAAGGCUCCUACUCAGUCGCUUACGAGCGUAGUAGCAGUGAAAGUCCCACUCGUGAUGAUUCAUGACAUCGCCCCAACGUCCUGCUGCGGCCGUCUGUCGUCGGGGGCUCCGCGCCAGCGCGCGGCUCCGCGUGUCCGUCCACAGAGAAACACGACAGUGCCCAGCCUCCCCCCCGGGGCGGCCGAGGCGGAAAUUACAGUGCAACGCACUAUUGAAAUCACUAUCCUGAGAAGGAAAAAACAACAACAACAAAUUGCAUUGCGGUUCCUCCUGAUAGGAAGGGGAAAUGCUGAGACUGAAAGUGAAAUGAGAAAAAUAUCUUUGGGAACGAUCUUGACUUUUUUAAAAGGCAUCAGAUUGACACAUCGUAAACAAAUCUGCUAAUAACUGGUAAAUAAACUAAACAAUCCGUGCACCUGGGAAGCAUUUGUCAUUUAAAGAAAAGGGAAAACAAACAAACAAAUAAAACGACUAAUGCGAUUGACAGACUUUACCUGUCCGCUACAGGUAAAAGAAAGUCCUCGGACUCACACGGCAGGCUUUCCACAGUCCUGAGGCUCAGUAUUUUUAACGAUGUGAGAACAUCGUUCUAAUCUGUAAUUGUGCCAUGCAAGCUCAGAAAACUCAGAAAGCCAAAUAAUUGCUUAACAGUAAGAUUUUGCCAGAUUUGAACUUAAUCAAACUUAAGAUGAGUACCACAGAGCCUGGCUUGCAUGCACUCAGGUUUCCUCAUCUUCUCUGUCAGCACUUAAAAAUAAGGCUGAGUUCGUAACUUCACUAAAUUUGGAUGGAUUUCGGCCAGUCCUCUUUCUGAACGGCCGAGGCUCCAUUUCUCUGCCUCUGAACUGGCAAUCUUUAAAAAAUCAAGGCACAGAGAUACAGGGUAUGUGUGGACAAGCAGAUCCGAUCAGUACCCCUGCCUUUCUGUCGCGUUAGCUGACCCUGCCAACGUUGCUUGUGUCUGAUUGCAUGAAGACUUAACGCUUCCGAGACACAGAUAAGACAAUUCUCGCUGGUAAACUGAAAUAUAAGUAUGCUUUGCACCUUCACAACCAAAAUCUAUUUCAUCCUAAAUGUCUCCUCAGAUGCACAGCACGCUCGGCUGGAUGUUUAAAGACUCUUUCCCUUCGGUGAAAUGAAAGUUGAUACUUCUAGCUGUUCAGAGCCAGCCUGAUAAAAAGAAGAAAGUGCGUUUCUGGGAGGCAGGAAAAGUACGAGGAGAUCGUCCCAGCUUUCUUGCAUGGCGGUGGGCAAACCAUUAGCCUAAUUAGAUUAGCCUGAAUUUGCGUUUCAGAGCCACCGGGGGUGCGGGUUUUAGGAAUCCACGAAGGGUUCUCGGGGAAAACGUUUUCAGAGAUGUUUUGCACCGACACGGCCGAGGGAAGUAAACCUCAGACGCUUUACGCCGAUAUCUUCUGGCGGGGAAAAGUUGAUAGGGUCCUUUUCCAAUUGAAAUCUCUUAAACCGGCUUUAGUUUUCGGAUUUAUUUUUUGUUCAGAGACUGAAAGUCAUUUCACCCUGAAUUAAACUGCGAGGCAAUUUAGGCAACCAUGGAGGAUGGGGAGGGAGUAGGAGGUGGGAGAUUUACAUGAAGGGAAGGCUCACUUCUGUGAUGCGAUAGCGCCUUUAAUCCCACUAAGCAUUUAAACAGCAAAAUGCUGUUUAAAUUUUCAAACAACUUAAUGAGGUGCUAAUGUGUUUAGACAACCUGUGUGAAGCACCUAGGGAAAUUCCUUAAGGGAAGCCAUAACCUCAUGAAAUCCGUGCCAGCUUGAGAGCAAAUGAAACUGUAACACUGCACAGCCUUGAAAAGUCCAAUCGAAAUAUUAAUGUUACUCAUUUAUGACGCAGUUGCAGAAAACAAGAGGUUCCUCGGCAAAUAAAAAUAGAAGAAGUGUUAACAGCACCGAUAGAAGUUGUUUGCUGAGCAAUUUUGAUCUACACCUUUCAGAAAAAGAGUGAGCUACCUACUCCUGCUUUCUCAUCAUGACUGUAUUAUCUACUUUCUAAUGAGAAACUAAAAUGCUGCAAUUUGGUCAUAUUGUGCUGUUCAUGGGAUUGCUUACAGUACUUUAGUUUGAAAAGUAUUUUGGCUUUGUCUAUUUACCAUUCACUAGGAUAAGAUACAGCUUUUGUGUUACACCAGCAAAUGUAUUUAAGGAAUGAUUAUAGAAUGAACGGGCUUCACUAGGGAGCCAAGGAAAUUAAUGUUCCCUGAAAGGGAUCCAUUAUGAGCAGUUUUUUAUGGGAGAAGUUCCAAACAGGUGGAAGAGAAAGUGCGCCAGGAGACAACCUACCAACGACAGACUUGAAUUUUCUCAUUAGGCUUCUUGGAACUACAGCCGACAGGAAUUAGCACCGCUUCUCCUUGUUAUAAGCCUUCUGAAAAACAGCUACAACUUUAAAAUACAGAAAAGCCAACGGGAAUUUCAUGUCUGGAGUGACGGUAUAGUUGAAACAUGACCUCUCUACAAAGGCAUAUGCAUUUCACUGUGAGAGAUUUGCUUUGAGAGAUAGCUGCUUAAUGUUUCUCACCUUUCAUAAACCUCAAAUUCAUCACAAUACUUUCUCAAAAUUAACUUUGCCCUGUAAAAGGCCAAAAGCUAAAAGAAAGGCACAGAAGAGUUGAAGGCCAUUUCUAGUAUUGCAGUCACACAGCAAUCAGCUAAACUGGCCUAGAGCAAAACAAGCCUGAAUUCUGCAGUCUGCUUACUCCUUGCUUUGUGGGUAAGAUGAACCAGCCAGGAACCCGAGCAAUGUUCAGUACCAGUAGCAGACCCAUUCCUUCUGUCUUCUUAAUAGCUACAGGGGAAAAUAAAUCCUUUUUGAACCCUACAAUUAGUCUGUGCAGAAACAAUAGACUACAAACUCAGCACAGCAGCAGAAAUAAAGGAGUACUAAACUUCUGAAUUCUGAAUCACCUCUGUGCUAUGCCUGAAUAUUUUCCAUAAAUUUAUCAGGUUCCAUCUUUAAACAGUUAUUGGUUUUCCUCCCCUAUUCUCACGUGUCUAUCCAAAAACUUGUCUACUAGUUAGAAGUCUUUUCACUGAUAAUGUGAUUCCUAGCAGCUCUACACCGCUCUCCUCUAAUUUACACUGUUGUUCCUACAACUGUGGGCUAUAUUUUGAAUAACAACUGGCACUAAGCAGAUGCAAAGCUGAUUUAAGCCACUUGGCUGAUUCUAAAUUGCCUUUAUGAAGAAAUUCUUAACUCAGAGGGCAGUGAGGCACCGGCCCAGGCUGCCCAGAGAUGUUGCCCCACCCCUGGAGGUGUUCAGGACCGGGCUGGGUGGGGCUGUGAGCAUCCUGAGUUGCUGGAAAGUGCCCAUGCCCAGAGGGAUUGGGAUUGGGAUUGGAAGAUCUUUAGAGUCCCUUCCGACUCAAAGCAUUCUAUGAUUCUACAGUUUUGCGGAGGCCACCUUCAGAAAUGUGGAAGUUUGUUGGCUACUCUUCUGUGCAGUCUUGUUGAACCAGCUCAGAGAUGGCUAGCUGUGGCCUAGGAGGAGCUGUGCAGUGCCCAGAUAUUCCAGUAGCUCUGCAAGAAUCAGUUUGGGUCUAACAGAGGGUAUUCUGACCCCUAACCUGGAAGCCUGGAAUGGGAUGGGGUGCAGAUAAAUCACAAUGAUUCAGGUGGAGAAAGUUAGAGACCUACUACUACACCUGGACUAUCAUUAGUCCAUGGGGCAAGAUGGAAUCCACCCGAGGGUGCUGAGGGAGCUGACAGAGGUGAUCGCCAAGGUGUUUUCCAACAUAUAUCAGUGUUCCUGUUCAAUCAGAGAGGUGCCAGAGGAUUGGUUUGCCCAUGUGACUCCCAUCUUCAAGAAGGGUGGUAAGGAGGAUCCAAGGAACUACAGGCUUGUCAGCCUGACCUUGGUGCCUGAAAAGGUUAUGAACAGAUCGUAUUGAGUGAGAUCACACAAUGUGUGGGACAACCAGAGGAUCAGGCCCAGGCAGCAUGAGUUCAUGAAAGGCAGGUCCUGCUUGACAAACCUAAUCUCCUUUAAUUGUGAUGAGGUGACCUAACUGAUGGAUGAGUAAAAGGUUGUUGAUGCAGUCUACCUAGACUUCAGCACAGCCUUUGACACUGUCUCCCACCAUAUUCUCCUGGAGAAUCUGGCAGCCCAUGGCUUGUACAUGUACACUCUUUGCUGGGUAAAGAACUGGCUAGUGCUGAAUAGACUUAAAUCCAGCUUGUGACUGGUCAUGGGUGGUGCUCCCCAGGGACAGUGGGGAUACUGGAUACUGGGACCUGUCCUGCUUAAUAACUUUAUUGCUGAUCUGGAUGAGGGAAUUGAGUGCACCCUCAGCAAGUCUGCAGCUGACACCAAGCUGGGAGGAAGUGUCGAUCUGCCUGGAAGUGAGAAGGCCCCAUCCAGCUCAGCUGGAUGAACCAGUGGAAUGAAGUUCAACAAGACCAAGUGCUGGGUCCUGCACUUUGGCCACAACAAUGCCAUGCAGUGUUGCAGGCUUGCAGUAGAGUGGCUGGAAGGCUUGUUUAGAAGAAACAGACCUGGGGUGUUGGUCAAUACUUGGCUAAACAUGAGCACACAUGUCCAUGUGGCCAAGAAGGCCAGUGACAUUCUGGCUUGACGUUGGAUUGAUGUUGCCAGGAAAUAAUCAGUUCUGUAUAUUAAUUGUAACAACUCAUGAGUUCUCUCAAGUUGACCUGGGAAGUUACCAGGAAAAUAGGCCAUUGGUAAAAUCUAGGAUAUGGAUGAGUAGUGGUUCAUGCCCACUGCAGGCCUCUGUCCUUCACCUCACUUUUGAUCCAUUCAGCAGAUGAUCCUUAAAGGAUGUAAGCAAAGGAAAACUUGGAAUAAGAGUAAAUUGAUACUUUGGCUUACUAUUACACUUGGAAACACAAUAACAUAUUACAUAACUUAAGAAUUUACUAUCAAAGUAAGUUGAACAGACUAUGCUUACUACAAAGAAAACAAGCUAAUGGAGCUGUACUGAAUUGAGAUGAUCCUAUCUUAAACAUCACCAGAAGAGUAUGUUUUUGUGUUAUUUCUUGUGUCCUGUUGUGAUUCCUUGAUGACAUUAGUUCAAGACUUUUUUUUCAAAUGUUUUUUCCUUCCUGCUCUCCUAUCCCAUUUAUCACACUUUCUAUGUUCCUAGGUGAUAGGCAAAACUUCUGUAAUCUCAAGAGCUUUAUCACAUCUGCCACAGUCAACCAAAAUUCCUUUUCUACUUGCAAUGGUCAGCUGAACUAACUCCCUUCAUUUUCUGUUAUCUUUCAAUUAUGUUCAAAAUAAGUCAAAAAAAUUUUGACCUACAAUUACCCUACUAUCUGUCUCUCAUCUGGCUACAUGGGGCCAGAUUUUGGGGCCGUCAAUGCUGCAUGAAUGUUUUCCAGUGGAAGCAUGAGGUGCACUUCUAAUACACAGCGUCCUGCCAAAACUUUGGGAACCUUCAUCUAGAACAUAGGUGUACAACCUUUUGGCUCACCUGGUCUGCUUUUAGUGAACAGAAAUUGUCUUGGGCUACAUAUAUGUAGGUCUUACAAAAAAUAAUGCCUCCUGUUUAUUUCCACAGAAACCACAACAAAGAGCAUAAUAACACAAUAACAGUUUUUAACAGAGCAAAUUCUCAGCUACAAAACACUAUUUUUUGACAUUGUCAUCACCACAAACUGUUCAUUUUCACCAGAGAUGAGUAGGAACCUGCAUGCCAUGCUCAUAGCAAUUUGUACCAGCAAAGGUGACCCAGUGUCACCACUGCUGAAACACACCACCCACCACCUCACUGUGCUCAUAUUCAAUGUUUGGUCUCUAUAAACAUUCAGCAAGCAUUGAUGAAUGUCAAUGGGUGCAACUUUUUCCACAUGGAGGAAUUUAGUGACACACCUUUGCUCCAUAUGCACGUCAUUUUGUCAGACUGCCCUCAUACUGCCAUCUGGCACAUAGCAACAACAUGCAACAGGAUAUUGGUUGGAAAGUUCAACCUCUACUGCCGUGCAAAUAUCUGCCCCGAUAUUAUGGGCCAACAUAAUAAAUCAGGAAGUAUUACUUUCAGAACAGCCCUUGCAAAAUAUACAAUAUUAUAAAUAGAUAAGUAACAAAACAUUUUAAUUUUAAAUAUUUUUAUUAAAACAUCGAGAAAAAAAAGGGAGAGAGGAACAAAAACAUAGGACUAGUGCGACAUUUGACCUUGUUUUUGUGAAAUUAACACACCAGUCUGGUUUGGUGGCAGUGGUUGAAAUUCUUAGUGAGGUCUCAAGGUGUUUAUCAGAGAUUUUUGAUGAAAUUUUACUCUUCCUGUACUUCAUCCUUGACAAUAAUUGUUCAGAAUAUGUGUGCUACCAAGAAGCAAUGACAUGAAUAAGUUGUUACUGUGAAGUGAAUAAAAUUUUUCCCUAAGAUAGGGAUUAUGAAAGUCUGGUGAAGAGAUGCGAUCAUAUUUUUGAGUUGAAUAUUUGAUUGCAACCCUAUAUAUUCAAUCUGAGUAUUUGCAGGUAAUUUAUUUAUAUAAACUGAAAAAGGGCUCACAAACACAAAUAGAUGAUUUAUUUUUAUUUUUAUUUUUUGGCAGCCUUGAAACCCCAAGCUGUGGCAUGAGGUUGAUGUGCCCAAGGGACAGGAUGCCAUCCAGAGAGACUUAGACAGGCUCAAAGAGUGGGCCCAGGUGAACCUCAUGAGGUUCAAGAAAGCCAGGUGCAGGGUCUUGCACCUGGGUCAAGGCAAUCCUCACUAACAAUACAAGUGGGAGGAUGAAGGGAUUGUGUGCAGCCCUGCUGAAAAGGCUGUGGGGUAUUAGUUGAUGAGAAGCUGGACAUGAGCCAGCAAUGUGCUCUCACAGCCUAGAAAGCCAACUGGAUCCUAGGCUGUAUCAAAAGAAGCAUGGCCAGCAGGGCAAGGGAGGUGAUCGUGCCUCUCUGCUCUGUGCUGGUGAGGCCUCACCUGGAGUACUGCAUCCAGAGGUGGAGUCUUCAGUACAGGAGAGACAUGUUGAAAUGUGUCCAGAGGAGCACCACAAAAAUGCUCCAAGAGAUGGAGCACCUCUCUGAUGAGGACAGGCUGAGAGAUGGCGUUGCCAUCAUGGGGAUAAAUUUACUCAUAUUUGAUUAUUACAAGACAAUGAAAGAGCUAAGGAGGAUGAUAUUUAUGAUUCUUUGUGUCAGCACUAUGAUUCAAGUUAAUAAUCUAUCAGGAUUUAACCCAUAAAAUGGCACCCACGGUAAAAACCUACCCCUACCAUUCCUUAUAUAGCUCAAAUCCUGGAUGUUCAUUUAGGGUUUUGUGCUUCAAAAUGUGACUACAUUCCUAUUCUGUGGGGACUCCUAUUACGACCAUUCACUGAGUGAUGUGUAAUUAUAUGAUGUUCAAAAACCUUACAUGAGGAGAAAGGUCUGCUCUUUAUUUCUGCCACCAGAAAUUCUGCCAUUUAAGAGUUGUGAGGCCAAAAUUCUGUACCUGGCUUUUCACAACAAUGAAGCACAAUUUUUUAUUUUAAUCUACAGAAAGACAAGGUUAUUGGAUUGAAACUACUGAAGUCUAAGGGUAGGGUAGUUCUUAGGGAGAUUUAGCCUCACCCCUUUUUUUCUGAAGUCUGUGUAGGUAAAAUGCAAGUUGCAGGUGGGAGAAACUCCACUCAUUGAGAUGCGUAAUCCAUCAGUGGUCAGAAAUAGCUAUUUCAGAGGAAGACAUAAAGCCCCACUGUAAAAUUGCAUUCGAUAUUCCUACUGGAGAAAUUAUGGAAGGAUUUCCUCUGUCCACCAGUUCAUGAUUAAUAUAUGCUUAAAAACGAGAUUUGUAUCUCUUUACAUAAUUUUGUACCCUAACAUAAUAAAGGUCAUAAAACUGUCUGGUUUAAGAAGAAAACUUAUUUUGCUCUUUAUUUCACAUCUGGCAACAAGUUGAAUAUUUUGAUUAUUUGUUGUGUAAAGGAUUAUAAAGGUUUUUACAUUUCAUUAGCCAGCAUUCUAUUUGUGUAUAAAGUGAUUUAACACCUUCAAAUACCUUCUACAUCCCUAUGUUAUCCACAUCUUCUAC